CCACACCACUAGGUCAAGUCCCAAUACUUUCUUAGCAUGGGGCACCCUCUUAUCCAAAUCACAUAUUGGCAUCACCGGGUACCAAUGUGAGUACCAAUCGAAUCUCUUUUUCUCGCGACCAUCAGCCUCAAGUUCCGGCAUAGGUGGCUCAAUGGACUCCGUUGUUGAUGCCGGGGAUGAUGAUAACGUCAUAAACAACCUCGAUUUCGAUCCAUUUCUUUCAAACAAUGUGAAAGAUGAAUCGAACACAAUUAAUUUUAACCUUAAAUGGUGAAAGAUGGGUUUAGGAAAUUGGGUUUUGUUUCUUCUUCUUGUUGUUGAAAUGUAUGGUGAAUGAACAAGGGUAGAAGAAGAAGCUCUAAGAACAUCCAUGGCUGACUAUCUUCCUUUUUUUCCUUCGGCUUUCAACACUCACUGGUUCUUCAAAGCUUAAUAUCCAUAUAUCAUUCAUUAUAUAUACUAGCUAGUUCCAUGCAUGCAUACUUCAACUUAUGGUAAUUAACAAUAUACAUAUGGUAAACAUAUACAUAUUAACCAAAUAUGUGUAUACAUAUAUAAAUAUUAACCUAAUAUAUAUUACGGUAAUUAUGGUAACAAUAUCUAUAUAAUGCUAUAUAUUAGGAUAAUUAAUUACGGUACUUAUAGUAAUUAUGGUAAUUAUAGUAAAGGUUAUAUCAUGGUAAUUAUGGUAACAAUAUCUAACACCCAAUUUUUUCCAUUUUACAAAGUUUUAUAUAAAAAAAUAAACACAUUAUAGUUUUUAACACGUAUUACUUUUCAUUUAAAGAACUUAUUUUUGUUGAUUGAGUUUUAGCUCGUUCGACAUGAAUAUUGUUAACAAUGCAAGAAGAUAUGGGUUUAAAUGUGUUAAAAUAGAUUAUCUUAUUGUGAAACGUAUUUUGUUAACCACCUCAUUUUACGAAUCGAGGUUGAAUGAGUAAAUUGUUUUCUUAUUAUUUUAUUUUGUUCAACUGAAUUAAUUGUGUAUACUCUUUAUAUUUAUCGCUUUAUUAAUGGUUAACUGGUAUUAAUAAAUUAUGUAGUUUGUGAGUUGAGUCAAUUGGUUGAAGCCAUUCGCAUGCUUUCCGGUGAGUUCAAUACCUAAAAUAUUUUAUAACGGAUUUAUUUCAUUAUAAUUAUUACAUCACAAUGAUAUUAAUCACAUAAAAUUGUGAUUGUGAUCACUCUUUUCAUCAGCUUCUUGAUGAUUUUUUUUUACAUAAUCUUGUUCUAGCAAAAACUUUGUAAGCCUUUCAUACUAAGCCCAUAAGGUUUGCUUCAAGCCAUAUAAGGCCUUAGUGAGCUUAUAAAUACUUAUAACUUGAAAUACAUUCUAAACAUCAAACCUAAAUAUCUUCUUACCUUUUCAUCAACGGAAAAGAGAAUGGAUGGGCAAGGAUUGAUAUUAUAAAUGACAUUCGCUUUCACACUUAUUCGAAGUGUCAUCCACCAAGCAAUCGAUCAAACCCCCAACAACUGAAGGUAUUGUUCCAUGUUGAGGUUUUUUCCCCAGCUUCACUCAGAGCAAUGUACAGUUCAUGAAGGGAGAAGCUUUGGUUGAUGGAGAUACAACCUAUAAUAGCUCAUGAGACAGGUGUUUGUAUUGUGCGUAACAUUAAUAAUAGAGAAUGCGUGCGGGAGAAUUCAAACCACCAACAACUUAAAGAGAACAUUCGAUUGGUGCAAGCGAUCCGAUUAGAGAAGGCUAUACAACAAUGAUUUUAACAGCUCAAUGAUUUUAUAACUCUUUUUUAAUAAAAUUUCUAAUCAUUGUUGGUAUAGGAAAAAAAAAAGAAGUGUUGAACUAGAUUUAACCCUGCAUACAAAGUAAAGGGUGUCAUAUUCUCAUCAAAUAACACAAAAUCUUUCAAUGAAAGGCAUGGUUAUAACCAUGGUAAUGGAAGUUCUUGUAGAUGAAAUGAGCCAACCAUUUGGAAGCUGCAAAGCAAAUGAUAGCCAUUGAUACCAUUGUUGUUUUAGCCACCAUUGACAUCAUCUUCUGCUUUGUUACAACAAUGAUGCCAAUCAAGAUAACCGACAUGAUUUGCAGCAUUACUUCGAGUGCCUUGAGACCUUUAUAUGCACUAUUACAACUCUUACAAUUCACUACAUGACUCCAAUACCUACACACCAAAAAAAAGCUUCUUGUUAAAUCAUGUUACUCAUGGUGGCUUGCACAUGGAAGUCAAGAUUGUAGGGAUUAACGUACAUAUUCAAUACAUGAAUGCUCAUUCUUUUUACAUGUAGUUCAUAUGUUAGGAAUAUUGCACCUAUAGUUAUGUCUGAAUAUGUAUGGGGCACAGGUACUCCAAAAGAAAUGAAGAGCGAUGGGUAUAAGUAUAUGUCCAAAUUUUCAUGUUCGGAAUGUUUGGAUAUAUACUCGUAUACUUGAAGAAAAAUGAAGAGUCGAAAGUUAUUAAAUUUACCUGUCCAUCAGUUGUUCUCUAGGAGGGGAUGGAGGAAGAGCUCCACUAUACUUCCCUUUCCAGUCAAUCUCACUGCCGGCAUACUUGUUGAACCACCUCCGGAAGCCAACCACCAUAGCAUCUGACUUUGUAGGCAAAAAACAAGCUUUUUGCCAAUUGGUAGCCCCAAUUUCCAUUAUCUUACGCUCCUACAAGGAGAAAUAGGUUGUCAACUUGCAUAAACAUGAUUAAAAACAGUUUCCAGUUCGUUAACAUAUGCCAUAGGUCUCUGUACUCUUCACAGAUUCGAGUACUUAGUAAUAAAAAAAUAAAAAAUUCAAAGCAUCAAAGAGCCAGAGAUAUAGGAAUCACCUCAACAUGAAGAAGAUACAAAUCAGAAUCAAGAACCAAGUUUACUCCAAUGUGAAACAUCCAUCUUGGAACAAUUUGGUCAAUCCAAACGCCAAAUUUUCUUGGGAAAAUCCAAAUCAAUCUACUAUUACCUGGACUAACUGGAACACACAUAAAAAUCAACAUAAGUCUGUGAUUUUCUUCAUCAACCUCAGCAUCAGCAAAAGUAUGGAUGAUACAAGGAGCAAUAAAGUUAGAAUUGCCCCAUUCUUGUUCAACAAAACCAUUUAUAUCCAACUUCUUGACUUUCAUAUCAAGUGGUCUACCCCCUUCUCUAUCAACCUUCACUGUGAACAAAAAAUUACAAUUUUAGAUAUGGUAAAAAAAACCCUCUCGAUUUUGAUAUUGAGCAAUUCAAUCCCUCUCAAAAAAAUCGGAGCAAUUUAAUCUCUGUCAAUUUCGAAAGUGAGCAAAUAAGGAUAAUUAAUCACAAGAUUAAUGUUUUUCGUCAAUUUUACAUAAAUUUGACUAGUAUAAUAAAAAAUUUAGCUCUCAUAAUUUACACGUUCUAUCAAUUCGAUCAUUGAUUUAACAAAUUUAGCCCAUAUAUAUAUAUUUGUAAAUGUGUAAAUAUUGAGGCUAAAUUUGUUGAAUUUUUUAAAAUCAAGACAAAAUUAACAAAAUAUGUAAACGUUGAGGGCCAAUCAAAAUUAUACACAAUUGACGAAAUACAUUAACCCGUGAUUGCUCUAUUAUUUUUCAAAGCGACUAACUUGUUCAAUUUCGAAUUUGAGAGAGACUAGAGAAAUCUUUUUACCUAUACGUGAAUUUCAUAUCUCAAAAUACAUUAAGAACUUCUUACCCUUAGGGAUCGGAGUGCGGAUUAUUCCGUAAUGUGCAUAUGGAAGAUGAGCAAAAUCCAUAAGAUUUUCAAUCAAGAACUCAUACCUGAAACCACAAAAUUAGAUUCUCGAACAAAUUUCAGUUUCCGUAAAUUAUAUUACUCUUAACUCUUUAUUUUUCUUGAAGUACCCGAAAGGAAGAUCUCUAUUUCCCAUCGGCCUUGAAAACGAAGGAUCAUCCAACUCAGGUAUGUAAGGAGGCUUUUUCUUUGUUAUAAUAUCUUUGUAUUGAGGAUCAGCAUUUGGCCAAACCCAUACAAUAUCAUGUUGCACAACACUUGGAUAAACAGCCACACAUGCUUUCUUGAAUGUAUGGACCUGCAAUUUUGAAAACCAAAGUUACCCCCUUUUGCCAACAAUGCCACACACAUUGCUCAAAAUGAACCAUGGUUACAAUAUCAACAUUGUAAGAAGAGGAUCAGAUAUAUCUAUAUACAUAGAGAUGUUCAUGGGCCGCGUCGAGUUGGGUUCGGACUUGACAUACUUAUGAUAUUAAUACAUUUUAUAUUUGUCCAGGUCUAGUCCAACCUGAAAUAUGAACUUAAAAUACUCAUAUUUGUAAAUAGUUAACUCAAGUUCAUUUUAAAUUCAAUCAUAUUAUUUUUUUAAAAAAUUAAAAAAUACCUUUAUAUUAUUUUUAAUUUAUAUCUAAUAAUUUUAUAUGUAAUCAUCUUAACAUUUUUAAUCUCUACAUUAUAGUAAUAUUAUAUUUUUAUGUGUUAUAAAUUAUAUAAUAUAAAACAUUACAAAUUUCCUUGAAUAUUCAAGCCUAAGUUCACCCUAUUUUUUAUCCUAAUACUUUUGCUCGGGCCCCAAAUUUCGAACGAACCUUUAGAUUUGAGUGGAUAACUUGACCCAUAAACAGAUCUAAAUAUACGCAUAUAUAUGCUUUAUAGAAAGUAACUCAGGUGAUCCAAUAUCAUAUGUCCAACAUAAAUAUGCUUAUAAAUAUGACACACAAGUACAAGACUAUGGCUCCUGGAUACUCAGCAUGCUUGUGCCAGAUACAUACAUGUAUCCAACAUCACACCCGAGUUUCAAGUAAUAUAAUCAUCCAUACCUUUGUAACAGUCCUAACAUUAGAACAGCAAAAAGAACAUAAUUAAACAUGAUGAUAUGAACUAAAAAAAAGGGUUACCGGGGGUCCAUCUAAGGGAGCUUGAGGAAUGAUUUUGCAAUCACCAUUGCCAUUAAAGCACCAACCAUGGUACACACACUGUAAUCUCCCCCAUUGAUCAAUUCUUCCCUCAGAUAAAGGAGCUAAUCUAUGAGGACAAGUAUCAUCAAACACUUUCCAUUCGUUCUCAUUCUUAUCCCACCACACCACUAGAUCAAGUCCCAAUACCUUCUUACCAUGUGGCACCCUCUUAUCCAAAUCACAUACAGGCAUCACCGGGUACCACUGUGAGUACCAAUCGAAUCUCUCUUUCUCGCGACCGUCAGCCUCAAGUUCCGGCAUAGGUGGCUCGAUGGACUCCAUUGUUGAUGAUGGGGUCGAUGAUAAGGUCAUAAACAACCUGGAUUUCGAUCCAUUUCUUGUAAGAGCUGGUAAUUUUAAGUUUAAAUUGUGAAAGAUGGAUUUAGGAAACUGGGUUUUGUUUCUUGUUGCUGUUGUUAGAAUGCAUGGUAAAGGACCAAUAGCAGAAGCAGCUCUAAGAACAUCCAUGGCUGACUAUAUCUUCUUUUAUUUUCUUCGUCUUUUAAAACACUCUAUUGGUUCUUCAAAGCUUAAGCAAAGAGGAGAAAGAAAGAACUUGAGGCUGUGAGGAAAUGAAACUGAGUGAUGUGAUGUGAUCUUAGUGAGGCUAAAAAUGAAUUAAAUAGUAAUCAAUGAACACUCCCAAAGCAAAGACUUUGAAGGUUUGCAUUUUGCAAAAGUCAACAUGACUUUGUAGGAUUACAAUUCACUAGACUUCUCCGUCUCGAAAAUGAAUGGGAUAUGAAUAAAAAUAUAUAUCAAAAAAUAGAUUUAGGCAAAAAAAGAAGGUUGAUUUUCUAAACAGAUUGUAUCUCGAGUAAGUUUUUUUGGCCUAAGUCCGGCUUGGCUCGGAUACCCUUAACAAAGUAUCGAUACCUUUUUCAAAAGUAUCGACACCCUGCUUGAGAAUCAAUACCUUGGGGAAGGUAUCGAUAUCUCAUAAUAAGUAUCGAUACAUUCCCUAUUGUAUCAAUAUUAUAGGCUUUAAUAUGGGCUGAAAAGGAUCAGGCCCAAGUUUAGCAUCUAUAACCUAGGUUGGGUUUGGGCAAAAAUUUAGGUCAAUUUUUCGAACCAAGCCCGAGCCUAUUAAUUGGACCUAAAAUUUUAUUAGGGCUUAACCCGAACCAACCCAUGAACAACUCUUCGAGGGAGGAACCAAUAAAAUAAAUGUGUUGAAAUUAGGCUCAACUUAUACUACUUUAAAUAAUAACUUUUUUAAAUUCAGAAGAAUCUUGAUCACCAAAAUUAACAUGUGAAAAUUAAAAUUAACUUAUACAACAAAAAAAAAGUUAAAUGUUCAAUUUGUAUUAAAUAUUUUAAUUAUUUAAGCAUUAACUAUUUUACCAAAUUAAUAUUUAAAUACUACUUUGUAUUAGUUUAUCAAAUUAAACUAAAAAUAUUAUUAAAUUUAUCGUAAAAAUUUAUAAUUCUAUAAAAGAAAUCAAGUUAAAAGAAACUCUGGAAAACUUUGGGGGUGGAACACAAAUUUACCCUAUUUUUAAGCAUUAAUUAUAAGGUCAAUAAAAAAUUUUAAAAUUUAAAUGGGUUGAAUUGAAAUUUUAUAAAAUUUAGACGGCAUCCCUAGUGGUAAGAUGAAAAGUCAUCGUAUCAGGUGGAUAAAAAGAUAAGAGAGUGGUUAAAAGGAAGAGAAAGAAAGUAGGAAAAAUGUUCUCUUGUAUUGGUCUCUUCAGUGCAAUGAUAAGUCGUAUAUAUGACAUCUCACAUGUCAUGACCUCACUAGCAAAAAGGUCACGUCUUGUCUUCUCACAGGCGCGGCAAUGCGAAUUCAUAGGUGAGUAAUGCAACGUCUUAAGAUGGUUAAACAAUUAAUGGGUGUAAUUUUACAUGUACUCUUAACGAAGCUAGUCUAUAAUGAAGGUUCGUUCACCUUACUAUAGAGCCACUCGAUGUUAUGAGUUCAACCAAUAGGAUUAGAUUUUUUAAAACCUUGUUCAUGGCAUGUAAUCUAGAACAUUUAAAAGUAGAGUUGAAAACACAUAAAAUAUGUAUAUUUAAUUUCUAAUCAUUGUUGGUAUAGGAAAAGAAAAAGAAAAAGAUAGUUCAACUAGCUUUUAACCUUACAUACAAAGUAAAGGGUGCCAUAUUCACAUAAACUUACACAAAAGCAUGGUUAUAGUCAUGGUAAUGAAAAUUCUUGUAAAUGAAAUGAGCCAACCAUUUUGAAGCUGCAAAACAAACGAUAGCCAUUGAUACCAUUGUUGUUUUAACCACCAUUGAUAUCAUGUUUUGCUUUGUUACAGCAACGAUGCCAAUCAAACCAACAGACAUGAUUUGUAGUAUUACUUCGAGUGCCUUGAGACAUUAUGUGCAGUAUUACAACUCUUACAAUUCACCACAUGACUCCAAUACCUGCAAAACAAGAACAAAGGUUAUAAGGUAUGUUACCCGGGUUCAGAGCGUUGGAUUCACGUACAUAUUCGAUACAGGUAUGUUCAUAUGUUAGGAUACAAGCUCCCAUAUUUCGAGAAAAGUGAAGAGUCAGAGCAAUAUAAGGACAAAGUUACUAAAUUUACCUGUCCAUUAGUUGUUCUCUAGGAGGGGACGGAGGAAGAGCUCCACUAUACUUCCCUUUCCAAUCAAUCUCACCGCCGGCAUACUUGUUGAACCACCUUCGGAAACCGACUACUAAGGCAUCCGACUUUGUAGGCACGAAACAAGCUUUUUGCCAACUGGUAGCCCCGAUUUCCAUUAUUUUACGCUCCUACAUGGAGAAAUAAGGUGUAAAACAAAACGAAGUUUACCAGGCAAGAAUAUUUGCAUAUAGCUAUGUGUUAAACAUGAGUUCUUCAUAUAUUUAGAGGGUCCUUAAAAGUUGAUUGUCCAAAUAAGCAUGGAAUAUGAUUGUCAGAUACUGAGUACUCAUAAAAAAAGUGAAUGUACCUAAGAGGCCUCUCUGUUAUAGGGAUUUGAUCAAAUUAGUCCUUCAACUAUUAAAUAGAUCAAUUUAGUCCCUUUACUAUUAAAAAGAAUCAAAUAAGACCAAAUUAGAAUAGAGUUAAAAUUUACUAUUUUAAAAAGUUAAUAUUUUUAAAGUUUUUACGAUUUUGUAAAUAAAAUCUUUUGUUUAGAUUUGAGUUGCAAUUGAAAAAUAAUAAUUUUCAAUACAUUUUUUAGAUAGUGAAUGUUAACUCUAUUACAAUUUGGACUUAUUUGAUUCUUUUUAAUACUAUAAGGACUAAAUUAAUCCAUUUAAUAAUAGAGGGGACUAAUUUGAUCCAGUACCUAUACAGGUACUUUAACCCAUAAACAAAUGAAAAGUCGAAGCCAUAUAGAUUUUUUGAAUGAAACUCAUCAAAGAGCCAGAGAUAUAGGAAUCACCUCAACAUGAAGAAGAUACAAAUCGGAAUCAAGAAUCAAGUUUAGUCCAAUGUGAAUUAUCCAUCUUGGAACCAUUUUGUCAAUCGAAACACCAAAGUUUCUCGGGAAAGUCCAAAUCAAUCUACUAUUACCUGGACUAACCGGAACACACAUAAAAAUCAAAGAAAAUCUUCGAUUCGGUGGCAGUGCCUGCAAAAAAAUACUUCUUUAUUGGUAAACAACACUCGGAAAACAAAUAAUAUACUGGACCUGACAGUCCACCGGUUCAACCAGUUCAACCUGCUGAUAAAUAGCAAUAUAUAGUGAAGUGAAUGCAGAACCUUUACAAUUUCGGAAGAUGUUGCAGAUCCAUUUUCUUGAUCAACUUCGACAUCAGUAAAAGCAUGAAAGAUGCAAGGUGCAAUAAAGUUAGAACUAUCCAAAUCUUGCUUUCCAAGAAAACCAUUUAUGUCCAACUUCUUAACUUUCAUAUCAAGUGGUCUACCCCCUUCUCUAUCAACCUUCACUGUGAACCAAAAUGUGCAAUUUUAGAUGCAAGAAUUCGAUAUCGCGAAAAUACAUACAUCAAGAACCUCUUACCGGUUGGGGUCCGAGUGCACAUUAUACCAUAAUGUGCAUAUGGAACAUGAGCAGGAUCCAUAAGAUUUUCAACCAGUACCUCGUACCUGAAAAUGCAAACUUAGUUUCUUCAACAAAUUUCAGCAACUAUUGAUGAUUUACAUCCACUACAUUACUCUCUUCAUUUUUCUUAGAGUACUCGCAUAAUUUGCAUACCCAUAAGGGAUAUCUCUGUUUACCAUCGACUUUGAAAAUGAAGGAUCAUCUAAUACAGGAAAGUAAGGAGGCUUUUUCUUUGUUAUAAUAUCUUUGUAUUGAGGAUCAGCAUUUGGCCAAACCCAUACAAUAUCAUGUUGCACAACACUUGGAUAAACAGCCACACAUGCUUUCUUGAAUGUAUGGACCUGCAAAUUUGAAAACCAAAGUUAAAAUAAGAGAACCCUUUUUGCCAAUAAUGCCACACAUUACAAGCAAUUGCUUAUUACUGUUGAGGGGAGGCCGGACUCUUUAUUAGGAGAAGUUUUCAAAGUAUCAUGAGCAGACGAACCCCUCAAUGGUUGAGGUAUUGUGCUCAAGGUGUCUAUGCUCGGUUUGUCUCUCGACUCCGCAGGGAGCCCUGACAGGUCCAUAAAGUGAGAACACCUUGCCCACCAAGGAAAUAAGAGCAUUUGGCCUUGGUGGGUUUGAAACCAUGCCCUUAUAUGGCAUUAGUAGGUAAGAAUAGUACCACUUGAGCUAGUGACCUCCCCUCAACAAUUAUAAUAUCAACACUUUAAAAGAGGAUCAGUAUGUAAAUACACUAUACUAAUUGAAGUUAGGAGAUUAGUGAAGAAUACUAUACGUCCACACAUUCAUUUUUCUUAAAAUAGUCGUGUCUGACAUUCAAUCCAACACACAAAUUCGUAGAUAUGAUCCCGAGUCGUAUCUUCAAAUAUAUACAUGUAUUCAAUACUCAUACCCGAGUCAGAGUAAACACCCAUACCUAUGUCCUUACAUGUAUAGAUAUAUCAUACAUGUAGGAGAAUUAAACCCCAGAAAGUUCCAAAUAAUCCUAACAUUAGAACAGCAAAAACAGAACAUAAUUAAACAUGAUGAUAUGAACUAAAAGAAAAGGGUUACCGGGGGUCCAUCUACGGGAGCUUGAGGAAUGAUUUUGCAGUCACCGUUGCCACCAAAACACCAACCAUGGUACACACAUUGUAACCUCCCCCAUUGAUCAAUUCUUCCCUCAGAUAAAGGAGCUAAUCUAUGAGGACAAGUAUCAUCGAACACUUUCCAUUCAUUCUCGUUCUUAUCCCACCAAACCACUAGAUCAAGUCCUAAUACUUUCUUACCAUGUGGCACCCUCUUAUCCAAAUCACUUACAGGCAUCACCGGAUACCACUGUGAGUACCAAUCGAAUCUCUCUUUACCGACCUCAGCCUCAACUUCCGGCAUAGGUGGCUCAAUAGACUCCGUUGUUGAUAUUGGGGACGAUGAUAAGGUCGUAAACAACCUGGAUUUCGAUCCAUUUCUUGUAAAACAUGGUAAUUGUAAGUUCAAAUUGUGAAAGAUGGGUUUAGAAAACUGGGUUUUGUUUCUUGUUGUUGUUGGAAUGUAUGGUGAAUAAACUAUGGUAGGAGAAGCUUUGAGAACAUCCAGGGAGGAUUAUAUAUGUUGGUUUAUUUUUCUUUUGUAUUUUAACGAUUAUGGCGUUCUUAAAAAGCUUAAAAGCAAAGAGAAAACGAAGAAGAGUGAAAGAACUUGAGGCUGAAAGAGGAUGAGCGUGUGAGUAAAUGAAACGCGUGAUGGAGGUAGACUGUGUGAGUAAAGAACUUGAGGCUGUGAGGAAAUGAAACUGAGUGAUGUGAUGUGAUCUUAGUGAGGCUAAAAAUGAAUUACAAAACAGUGCUUAUUGAAAAGUCGAGGAAAUAAAACAACAAAUAGUAAUCAAUGAACACUCCCAAAGCAAAGACUUUGAAAUGUUUGCAUUUUGCAAAAGUCAACAUGACUUUGUAGGAUUACAAUGGUAGGAUUACAAUUGACUAGAUUUCUCCGUCUCGAAAGUGAGCUAAAAAAUGAGAAAGUUUGGGUAAAAAUAUAUAUUAAAAAGUAAAUUUAGGCAAAAAAUAAGGUUCAUUUUUUAAACAGAUCGUAUCUCGGAUAAGUUUUUUUGACCUAAGCCCGGCCUGGCUCAGAUACCCUUAACAAAGUAUCGAUACCCUUCCCAAAAGUAUCGACACCCUGCUUGAGAAUCAAUACCUUAGGGAAGGUAUCGAUAUCUCAUAAUAAGUAUCGAUACAUUUCCUAUUGUAUCAAUAUUAUAGGCUUUAAUAUGGGCCGAAAAGGAUCGGACCCAAGUUUAGCAUCUAUAAUCUAGGUUGAGUUUGGGCAAAAAUUUAAGCCUAUUUUUUGAAUCGAGCCCGGGCUUAUUAAUUGGACCUAAAAUUUUAUUAGGGCUUAACCCGAACCAGCCCAUGAACAACUCUACGAGGGAGGAACCAAUAAAAUAAAUGUGUUGAAAUUAGGCUCAAUUUAUACUACUUUAAAUAAUAGCUUUUUUAAAUUCGGAAUAAUCUUGAUCGCCAAAAUUAACAUGUGAAAAUUAAAAUUAACUUUUAGAAAGAAAAAAAAAGUUAAAUAUUCAAUUUGUAUUAAAUAUUUUAAUUAUUUAAGCAUUAAAUAUUUUACCAAAUUAAUAUUUAAAUCCUACUUUGUAUUAGUUUAUCAAAUUAAACUAAAAAUAUUAUUAAAUUUAUCAUAAAAAUUUAUAAUUUUAUAAAAAAAUCAAGUUAAAAGAAACUCUGGAAAACUUUGGGGGUGGAACACAAAUUUACCCUAUUUUUAAGCAUUAAUUAUAAGGUUAAUAAAAAAAAUUAAAACUUAAAUGGGUUGAAUUGAAAUUUUAUAAAAUUUAGGGGCAUCCUGUAAUGCCCCUUACCCGUAUUCAACGCCGAAACAGGGUUCGAGGCAUUACCGGACUUAAACACAAGAAAUCAUACGAUUCCGAGCCAUGAGAAUUAAUCUACAUUAAAACCAUUCAAAAACAAUAUGCUCAACAUUCAAUAACAUAAUUCAACUUGCAUGCAUGAUACAAGACUUUAUCACUUCACUUACUCCUUUGCAACUUUACCACAUUUCAAUCACAUACCGAACACAUUACUCAUGAGUAUACACAUAUAUAUAUAUAUGCACUUAUCACCACAUAGUCACACAUAAUUUCACUUAGUCGAUUUUCCCGAUGAACACUUCGGAAUAAUAACAGAUACACGGUGGUUCCGCACAUAGCACCACCCUUAUGAUCAAUGCUAUCCGGUAUACAUAGUAGCCUACACUUAGUACUACACAUAUGACCAAUACCAUCCGAUACACGUAGUAGCCUGCACAUAGUACUACACACGUGACCGAAGCUAUCCAGUACACAUAGUAGCCUGCACUUAAUAUUACAUAUGUGACCAUAACUAUCUUAUACUCAUAGUAGCCUACACAUAGUACUACACAUGAUUUCUCAUGAUGUCUUUCGUAUCCUUUUCUAUUCUGAAAGUUCAACCGGGAAAUUUGUCACUUAUUCUCACUUUGUCAAUUUCAACCAUAGUCAAUCUCAAUUCAUAAUUUACAUCAAAUAAUCAUUCAAUAUACAACCACAUCUCAUGUAAUAUAACAAAAUAUUAUAACAUAAGUAAAAACGAUAUAUUAUUUACAUACAAACUAGAGGUGAUCAUGGGUUGGGCUACCCAGCCCGGCCCGACGACCCGCCCGAAAAAUGGGAGGGUUUGGGUAAAAAUAUAGACCCGAAAUAUAGGUUUGGGCAAAAAAACGAGGCCCCUUGGGUAAAAUUAUUUUGGUCCAAGCCCGGCCUGAAUUAUAUAUUAAAUAUUUAUUUUUUAUUUUUAAUCAAUUAUAUAUAUUUUAUAUAUAUUUAAUAUGGGUCGGGCCGGGCCAGGCUCAGCAAUUUUUUUCGGGCCGGGCUUGGACAAAUUUUUAGGCCCAUAUUUCGGGCCAAGCAGGGCCCGAGCCUAGAAAAUGGGCCUAAAUUUUUAUCUGGGCCAGGCCCAAACUCAGCCCAGUCCGCCCCAUGAUCACCUCUAAUACAAACUUACCUCGACACCAAAAGGGCAAAAAGGGACAUAACCGUCAAUUCUCGUUUUUCCCCCGUUCUAGGUCCGAACCUCAUUUUCUUUGAUCUAUAAUAUCAUAUUUAGCCUAAUUAUUAGUCACAUUAUUCAAAUCAGUCCACAAUUCAUAUGUUGGUAAAAUUAUUGUUUUGCCCCUAAACUUUCACAUAUUUACAAAUUAGUCCCUAGGCUCGUAAAACGAAAUUUAUGGAAUUUCAUCCAUAUCAAAGACUAACCGAAUUAUUUAGGUGCUCAUAGCAGCCCAUAUAAUCCCCAAUUUCACUCAUAUAACUCAAAAUCUUCAUACUUUACAAAUUAACCCCUAAUAGCAUUUUACAACAAAAAUCACUUAACAAGAAAUGUUCAACACACAACAAGGUUUCAUUUUACUCCAUUAAACUUCACAAUCAACUAUCAUGCUUUCAUUUCCCAAAACCCUAGCCUUUCAAUCAUCUUGCAAAUUAGUCCCCUAUUUAGCUAGCUUAAGCUUCAAUGGUUCCAAAAACAUAUAAAUCAACAAAAACAAACAUAAAUUUCACUUACAUGCAAGGGUUUAAAUUUGCUAAAAAUUUGAGUUCUCCAAUGGCUAUUCUCUUGGUAAAAAACGGUGGAAGAAGAUGAGCAAAUGAAUAAAAAUAAUAUUUUUAUUUCUUUUUGUUUAUUUUAUCAUAUUUCGUUAUGUAUAGAUGAUGAGAUUCCAUUGAUACAGAGCCAAUUCCAAUAGACUUAUUGGAGGGUCCCAUUGGCGUGCAUCCAGUAGGAAUUGAACCUACGAAUUCGCCAAUUAUGAGUUGGGCGCUUUAACCAUUCAGCCAUGGAUGCUUAGCGAGGAUCCUCGUACAUGGUGAAUAACCAAAUUCCAAUUGGAUUGAAAUCUUUAGGAUAAAUCAAUGCAAUUUUGGAGGAAUCAAUGAAAGGACAUCAAUUCAAAUCCUGGAUUUUCGAAUUGAGAGAGAUCAAGAAUUCUCACUAUUUCUUAGAUUCAUGGACUCAAUUCAAUUCAAUGGGAUCUUUCAUUCACAUUUUUUUCCACCAAAAAUGUUUUAUAAAACUCUUAGACCCCCGAAUUUGGAGUAUCCUACUUUCACGCAAUUCACACCAACCUAACCCAUCCAACAUCAUAAUUACACUCCAUGUGCAUCCACUUUCUCUUUUAAUGAUCUAAUUACUCAAUAAGGACCUCAAAUUUUAAGUUCUAUAGCUAAUUAACACAUUUAGCUAAUAGAACAUAACUUUAGCACUUUACGCGAUUUAGUCCUUUUGACUAAAUUGAGUGCCCAAAAGUCGAAAUUUUCAAACGAUAUUUCACGAAAUUAUUCCGUAAAAUUGUAGACUAUAAAAAUAUAGUAAAAUAAAUUUUCUUACGUCGGAUUUAGGGUCCCAAAAUUACUAUUCCGACUAGGCCCAAAAUCGGGUUGUUACACAUCCCUAGUGGUAAGGUGAAAAGUCAUCGUGUGGAUAAAAAGAUAGAGAGAGUGGUUAAAAGAAAGAGAAAGAAAGUAGGAAAAAUGUUCUCUUGUAUUGUUUUUAUAGUCUCUUCCGUGCAAUGAUAAGUCGUAUAUAUGACAUCUCACAAUGUUCUCUUGUAUUGUUUUUAUAGUCUCUUCAGUACAAUGAUAAAUCAUAUAUAUGACAUCUCACAUGUCAUGACAUCACUAGCAAAAAGGUCACGUCUUGUCUUCUCACAGGUGCGGGAAUGCGAAUUCAAAGGUGGGUAAUGCAACGCCUUAAUAUGGUUAAACAAUUAACGGGUGUAAGGUUACAUAUACUCUUAACGAAGUUAGUCUAUAAUGAAGGUUCGUUCACCUUACCAUAGAGCCACUUGAUGUUAUGAGUUCAAUCAAUAGAAUUAGAUUUUUUAAAACCUUGUUCAUGGCAUGUAAUCUAGAACAUUUAAAUGUAGAGUUGAAAACACAUAAAAUAUGUAUAUUUAAUUUCUAAUCAUUGUUGGUAUAGAAAAAAAAAAAAGAUGUUCAACUAGCUUUUAACCUUACAUACAAAGUAAAGGGUGUCAUAUUCACAUAAACUUACACAAAAGCAUGGUUAUAGUCAUGGUAAUGAAAAUUCUUGUAAAUGAAAUGAGCCAACCAUUUUGAAGCUGCAAAACAAACGAUAGCCAUUGAUACCAUUGUUGUUUUAACCACCAUUGAUAUCAUGUUUUGCUUUGUUACAGCAACGAUGCCAAUCAAACCAACAGACGUGAUUUGUAGUAUUACUUCGAGUGCCUUGAGACCUUUAUGUGCAGUAUUACAACUCUUACAAUUCACCACAUGACUCCAAUACCUGCAAAACAAGAACAAAGGUUAUAAGGUAUGUUACCCGGGUUCAGAGCGUUGGAUUCACGUACAUAUUCGAUACAGGUAUGUUCAUAUGUUAGGAUACAAGCUCCCAUAUUUCGAGAAAAGUGAAGAGUCAGAGCAAUAUAAGGACAAAGUUACUAAAUUUACCUGUCCAUUAGUUGUUCUCUAGGAGGGGACGGAGGAAGAGCUCCACUAUACUUCCCUUUCCAAUCAAUCUCACCGCCGGCAUACUUGUUGAACCACCUUCGGAAACCGACUACUAAGGCAUCCGACUUUGUAGGCACGAAACAAGCUUUUUGCCAACUGGUAGCCCCGAUUUCCAUUAUUUUACGCUCCUACAUGGAGAAAUAAGGUGUAAAACAAAACGAAGUUUACUAGGCAAGAAUAUUUGCAUAUAGCUAUGUGUUAAACAUGAGUUCUUCAUAUAUUUAGAGGGUCCUUAAAAGUUGAUUGUCCAAAUAAGCAUGGAAUAUGAUUGUCAGAUACUGAGUACUCAUAAAAAAAGUGAAUGUACCUAAGAGGCCUCUCUGUUAUAGGGAUUUGAUCAAAUUAGUCCUUCAACUAUUAAAUAGAUCAAUUUAGUCCCUUUACUAUUAAAAAGAAUCAAAUAAGACCAAAUUAGAAUAGAGUUAAAAUUUACUAUUUUAAAAAGUUAAUAUUUUUAAAGUUUUUACGAUUUUGUAAAUAAAAUCUUUUGUUUAGAUUUGAGUUGCAAUUGAAAAAUAAUAAUUUUCAAUACAUUUUUUAGAUAGUGAAUGUUAACUCUAUUACAAUUUGGACUUAUUUGAUUCUUUUUAAUACUAUAAGGACUAAAUUAAUCCAUUUAAUAAUAGAGGGGACUAAUUUGAUCCAGUACCUAUACAGGUACUUUAACCCAUAAACAAAUGAAAAGUCGAAGCCAUAUAGAUUUUUUGAAUGAAACUCAUCAAAGAGCCAGAGAUAUAGGAAUCACCUCAACAUGAAGAAGAUACAAAUCGGAAUCAAGAAUCAAGUUUUGUCCAAUGUGAAAUAUCCAUCUUGGAACAAUUUUGUCAAUCCAAACACCGAAGUUUCUCGGGAAAGUCCAAAUCAAUCUACUAUUACCUGGACUAACCGGAACACACAUAAAAAUCAAAGAAAGUCUUCGAUUCGGUGGCGGUGCCUGCAAAAAAAUACUUCUUUAUUGGUAAACAACACUCGGAAAACAAAUAAUAUACUGGACCUGACAGUCCACCGGUUCAACCAGUUCAACCUGCAGAUAAAUAGCAAUAUAUAGUGAAGUGAAUGUAGAACCUUUACAAUUUCGGAAGAUGUUGCAGAUCCAUUUUCUUGAUCAACUUCGACAUCGGCAAAAGCAUGAAAGAUGCAAGGUGCAAUAAAGUUAGAACUACCCCAAUCUUGCUUUCCAAGAAAACCAUUUAUGUCCAACUUCUUAACUUUCAUAUCAAGUGGUCUACCCCCUUCUCUAUCAACCUUCACUGUGAACCAAAAUGUACAAUUUUAGAUGCAAUAAUUCGAUAUCGCGAAAAUACAUACAUCAAGAACUUCUUACCGGUUGGGGUCCGAGUGCGCAUUAGACCAUAAUGUGCAUAUGGAACAUGAGCAGGAUCCAUAAGAUUUUCAACCAGUACCUCGUACCUGAAAAUGCAAACUUAGUUUCUUCAACAAAUUUCAGCAACUAUUGACGAUAUACGUCCACUACAUUACUCUCUUCAUUUUUCUUAGAGUACUCGCAUAAUUUGCAUACCCAUAAGGGAUAUCUCUGUUUCCCAUCAACUUUGAAAAUGAAGGAUCAUCUAAUACAGGAAUGUAAGGAGGCUUUUUCUUUGUUAUAAUAUCUUUGUAUUGAGGAUCAGCAUUUGGCCAAACCCAUACAAUAUCAUGUUGCACAACACUUGGAUAAACAGCCACACAUGCUUUCUUGAAUGUAUGGACCUGCAAAUUUGAAAACCAAAGUUAAAAUAAGAGAACCCUUUUUGCCAAUAAUGCCACACAUUACAUGAAAUUGCUGAUUACUGUUGAGGGGAGGCCGGACUCUUUAUUAGGAGAAGUUUUCAAAGUAUCAUGAGCAGACGAACCCCUCAAUGGUUGAGGUAUUGUGCUCAAGGUGUCUAUGCUCGGUUUGUCUCUUUGUCUCUCGGGGAGGCCUGACGGGUCCAUAAAGUGAGAACACCUUGCCCACCAAGGAAAUAUGAGCAUUUGGCCUUGGUGGGUUUGAAACCAUGCCCUUAUAUGGCAUUAGUAGGUAAGAAUAGUACCACUUGAGCUAGUGACCUCCCCUCAACAAUUAUAAUAUCAACACUUUAAAAGAGGAUCAGUACGUAUAUACACUAUACUAAUUGAAGUUGGGAGAUCAGUGAAGAAUACUAUAUGUCCACACAUUCAUUUUUCUUAAAAUAGUCGUGUCUGACAUUCAAUCCAACACACAAAUACGAAGAUAUGAUCCCGAGUCAUAUCUUAAAAUAUAUACAUGUAUUCAAUACUCAUACCCGAGUCAGAGUAAACACCCAUACCUAUGUCCUUACAUGUAUAGAUAUAUCAUACAAGUAGGAGAAUUAAACCCCAGAAAGUUCCAAAUAAUCCUAACAUUAGAACAGCAAAAACAGAACAUAAUUAAACAUGAUGAUAUGAACUAAAAGAAAAGGGUUACCGGGGGUCCAUCUACGGGAGCUUGGGGAAUGAUUUUGCAGUCACCAUUGCCACCAAAACACCAACCAUGGUACACACAUUGUAACCUCCCCCAUUGAUCAAUUCUUCCCUCAGAUAGAGGAGCUAAUCUAUGAGGACAAGUAUCAUCGAACACUUUCCAUUCAUUCUCGUUCUUAUCCCACCACACCACUAGAUCAAGUCCUAAUACUUUCUUACCAUGUGGCACCCUCUUAUCCAAAUCACAUACAGGCAUCACCGGAUACCACUGUGAGUACCAAUCGAAUCUCUCUUUACCGACCUCAGCCUCAACUUCCGGCAUAGGUGGCUCAAUAGACUCCGUUGUUGAUAUUGGGGACGAUGAUAAGGUCGUAAACAACCUGGAUUUCGAUCCAUUUCUUGUAAAACAUGGUAAUUGUAAGUUCAAAUUGUGAAAGAUGGGUUUAGAAAACUGGGAUUUGUUUCUUGUUGUUGUUGGAAUGUAUGGUGAAUAAACAAUGGUAGGAGAAGCUUUGAGAAC
Molecule: long non-coding RNA, 18292 nt
Filed under: Gossypium barbadense (sea-island cotton)
Lineage: Eukaryota; Viridiplantae; Streptophyta; Magnoliopsida; Malvales; Malvaceae
Description: long non-coding RNA (GBAR_LNC018229)
Source: RNAcentral